Molecule: small RNA, 294 nt
Filed under: Rosellinia necatrix
Lineage: Eukaryota; Fungi; Ascomycota; Sordariomycetes; Xylariales; Xylariaceae
Description: 5' ureB small RNA
Rfam family: 5' ureB small RNA
Source: Rfam by way of RNAcentral
CUCGUACGUCUGCUGGGGGCAGAUGAAGUGGAUGUGGGAGUCCAUGCCGCCGGCGGUGACGAUCUUGUUCUCGCCGGCGAUGACGUCGGUGCAGCUGCCGACGACCAUGCCCUCGGUGACGCCGUCCAUGACGUCCGGGUUCCCGGCCUUGCCGAUGGCGACGAUCAUGCCGGCCUUGACGCCGAUGUCCGCCUUGUAGAUGCCGGUGUGGUCGACGAUGAGCGCGUUCGUGACGACGAGGUCGAGGCAGUCGGCGUCGGCACACCCGCUCAUCUGGCCCAUGCCCUCGCGCAG